Molecule: transfer RNA, 82 nt
Filed under: Caenispirillum salinarum AK4
Lineage: Bacteria; Pseudomonadati; Pseudomonadota; Alphaproteobacteria; Rhodospirillales; Novispirillaceae
Rfam family: tRNA
About the family: Transfer RNA (tRNA) molecules are approximately 80 nucleotides in length. Their secondary structure includes four short double-helical elements and three loops (D, anti-codon, and T loops).
Source: Rfam by way of RNAcentral
GGAGGGGUGGCCGAGUGGUUAAAGGCACCAGACUGUAAAUCUGGCGACGUAGUCUACGCAGGUUCGAAUCCUGCCCCCUCCA